GAACAACCUGCCAAUUAAAAUGCACAAAGCCUAGAGUGCAGCUGAAUGGGAUUCCUUUCCUUGUCUUUACACAUCGUUACUGACCUUGCUCAAUUGUGUCAGACAUUAAUGAAAAGUUAAGUGACAAAGAAAAUAAAGCCACCACAAGAAAAUCACCACAAUGAGAACAAGGAGACUUUUGUACUCACUCCACCAUGGCCAUGUCGAGUCUUGAGUCUGGGUGUAGAAUGGCUGGGGGUGCCUAGAGAGAUACGUCCAUGUCUGGGUGGAACAGCGCCAGAUGGAGACAAAGCCACCAUGCAGGGGUCACCUACAUAAUGCAGAUCAGUCUGAGAACACACCCGUCAUAAAGCUGUCCUGACCAAGAUAUGGCACCUCAGAUUCCAAAUCACAUUCCAGGUCAGCUCUAAAAACAGACAAAAGUAGUCAUUGUGGUGAGGACCGUGGCAUCCAUGCCCAGCUCAGGCUCCAAGCAGAUCUCCCCCAGGGGCAAGACUCACU
This is a non-coding RNA of Electrophorus electricus (electric eel), 501 nucleotides long. The record is from RefSeq and is a predicted model, not a curated record. Lineage: Eukaryota; Metazoa; Chordata; Actinopteri; Gymnotiformes; Gymnotidae.